Molecule: ribosomal RNA, 497 nt
Filed under: uncultured bacterium
Lineage: Bacteria
Description: partial 16S ribosomal RNA
Rfam family: Bacterial small subunit ribosomal RNA
Source: RNAcentral
GAUGAACGCUGGCGGCGUGCCUAAUACAUGCAAGUCGAGCGAACAGACGAGGAGCUUGCUCCUCUGACGUUAGCGGCGGACGUGUGAGUAACACGUGGAUAACCUACCUAUAAGACUGGGAUAACUUCGGGAAACCGGAGCUAAUACCGGAUAAUAUAUUGAACCUCAUUGUUCAAUAGUGAAUGACGGUUUUUCUGUCACUUAUAGAUUGAUCCGGGCCGCAUUAGCUAGUUGGUAAGGUAACGGCUUACCAAGGCAACGAUGCGUAGCCGACCUGAGAGGGUGAUCGGCAAAAGUGGAAGGGAGACAGGGAACAGAGUAAGAAGGGAGGCAGCAGUAGGGAAAAGGAGGAAAGGGGCGAAAGAAGGAGGGAGAAAAGGCGCGUGAGUGAAGAAGGUCUAAGGAUCGUAAAAAACUGUUAUUAGGGAAGAACAAAUGUGAAAGAAAAUAUGCACGAAUUGACGGUAACUAAACAGAAAGCAACGGCUAACUACGUG